CACGUAGGGGGCAAGCGUUGUCCGGAUUCAUUGGGCGUAAAGAGCUCGUAGGCGGUUCGAUAAGUCGGGUGUGAAACCUCCAGGCUCAACCUGGAGACGCCACCCGAUACUGUCGUGACUAGAGUCCAGUAGGGGAGCGUGGAAUUCCUGGUGUAGCGGUGAAAUGCGCAGAUAUCAGGAGGAACACCAGCGGCGAAGGCGGCGCUCUGGGCUGGAACUGACGCUGAGGUGCGAAAGCGUGGGGAGCAAACAGG
RNAcentral lists this ribosomal RNA (254 nucleotides) under uncultured bacterium. RNAcentral's name for it is "partial 16S ribosomal RNA". It matches the Rfam family "Bacterial small subunit ribosomal RNA", at positions 524 to 776 of the family's 1533-position model. The record is from RNAcentral.